UGCUUCUGGAUCGUUAGUACGGCGAGUGACCGGGAAAAGCUCAAAUUUGUAAUCUGGCUGUCUUCGAUAGUCCGAGUUGUAAUCUAUAGACGUGUUUUCCGUGCUGGACCGUAUCUAAGUCCCUUGGAACAGGGUAUCAAAGAGGGUGACAAUCCCGUGCUUGAUACGACCACCAGUGCUCUGUGAUACACGCUCUACGAGUCGAGUUGUUUGGGAAUGCAGCUCAAAAUGGGUGGUAAAUUCCAUCUAAAGCUAAAUAUUGGCGAGAGACCGAUAGCGAACAAGUACCGUGAGGGAAAGAUGAAAAGCACUUUGGAAAGAGAGUUAAACAGUACGUGAAAUUGUUGAAAGGGAAACGAUUGAAGUCAGUCGUGUUCUUUGGAUUCAGCUAGUUCUUCUAGUCUACUUCCAUUGAACGGGUCAACAUCAGUUUUGUCCGGUGGAUAAAGAUAGUAGGAAUGUAGCUCCCCCGGGAGUGUUAUAGACUAUUAUUGCAUACACUGGGUGAGACUGAGGACUGCAGCUCGCCUUUUGGCCGGUCUUCGGACACGUUCGAGCUUAGGAUGUUGACAUAAUGGCUUUAAACGACCCGUCUUAAA
This 599-nucleotide ribosomal RNA is filed under the name Cutaneotrichosporon mucoides. Its description in RNAcentral is "partial large subunit ribosomal RNA". It matches the Rfam family "Eukaryotic large subunit ribosomal RNA", at positions 65 to 658 of the family's 3401-position model. The record is from RNAcentral. Lineage: Eukaryota; Fungi; Basidiomycota; Tremellomycetes; Trichosporonales; Trichosporonaceae.